GAUGAACGCUGGCGGCGUGCCUAAUACAUGCAAGUCGAGCGAACAGAUAAGGAGCUUGCUCCUUUGACGUUAGCGGCGGACGGGUGAGUAACACGUGGGUAACCUACCUAUAAGACUGGAAUAACUCCGGGAAACCGGGGCUAAUGCCGGAUAACAUGUUGAACCGCAUGGUUCUACAGUGAAAGGCGGCUUUGCUGUCACUUAUAGAUGGACCCGCGCCGUAUUAGCUAGUUGGUGAGGUAACGGCUCACCAAGGCAACGAUACGUAGCCGACCUGAGAGGGUGAUCGGCCACACUGGAACUGAGACACGGUCCAGACUCCUACGGGAGGCAGCAGUAGGGAAUCUUCCGCAAUGGGCGAAAGCCUGACGGAGCAGCGCCGCGUGAGUGAUGAAGGUCUUCGGAUCGUAAAACUCUGUUAUUAGGGAAGAACAAAUGCGUAAGUAACUGUGCGCGUCUUGACGGUACCUAAUCAGAAAGCCACGGCUAACUACGUG
Molecule: ribosomal RNA, 497 nt
Filed under: uncultured bacterium
Lineage: Bacteria
Description: partial 16S ribosomal RNA
Rfam family: Bacterial small subunit ribosomal RNA
Source: RNAcentral